GCAGUCGACGAUGAACCUCCUUCGGGAGGGGAUUAGUGGCGAACGGGUGAGUAACACGUGGGCAAUCUGCCCUGCACUCUGGGACAAGCCCUGGAAACGGGGUCUAAUACCGGAUAUGACUCGGGAGGGCAUCCUUCCGGGUGGAAAGCUCCGGCGGUGCAGGAUGAGCCCGCGGCCUAUCAGCUUGUUGGUGGGGUGAUGGCCUACCAAGGCGACGACGGGUAGCCGGCCUGAGAGGGCGACCGGCCACACUGGGACUGAGACACGGCCCAGACUCCUACGGGAGGCAGCAGUGGGGAAUAUUGCACAAUGGGCGAAAGCCUGAUGCAGCGACGCCGCGUGAGGGAUGACGGCCUUCGGGUUGUAAACCUCUUUCAGCAGGGAAGAAGCGCAAGUGACGGUACCUGCAGAAGAAGCGCCGGCUAACUACGUGCCAGCAGCCGCGGUAAUACGUAGGGCGCAAGCGUUGUCCGGAAUUAUUGGGCGUAAAGAGCUCGUAGGCGGCUUGUCGCGUCGGAUGUGAAAGCUCGGGGCUUAACCCCGGGUCUGCAUUCGAUACGGGCAGGCUAGAGUGUGGUAGGGGAGAUCGGAAUUCCUGGUGUAGCGGUGAAAUGCGCAGAUAUCAGGAGGAACACCGGUGGCGAAGGCGGAUCUCUGGGCCAUUACUGACGCUGAGGAGCGAAAGCGUGGGGAGCGAACAGGAUUAGAUACCCUGGUAGUCCACGCCGUAAACGUUGGGAACUAGGUGUUGGCGACAUUCCACGUCGUCGGUGCCGCAGC
Molecule: ribosomal RNA, 780 nt
Filed under: Streptomyces sp.
Lineage: Bacteria; Bacillati; Actinomycetota; Actinomycetes; Kitasatosporales; Streptomycetaceae
Description: bacterial SSU rRNA
Rfam family: Bacterial small subunit ribosomal RNA
Source: RNAcentral